ACUCUAAAAAGAUAGCCAAAGUCACAGCAGUGUUCACGCGGUUUCAUUGUAAAGACGUGCCAAAAUACUUAAGAGGCACUAUUUUUCUACCUAGGUCACCCAUCUUUGAGAAUACCGACAGCCCGCCCUCACUUCGACGCUCCCCAUCCAUUAUUAAAAAAAAAUAAAUAAAUAAAUUUAAACAUGUCUGCUGUGCCUUUCAUGCAAACCUAUAAACAGUCACAUCUUCCCCGCAGCGACGCCCAGGUCUGAGUCCCACAAGCAGCGAGACUGCAGACUGCGGCGCUGGCUGGGGCCACUCCUCCCGCGACACUCCGAAACUGCUCCCCUUUCCCUUGGGAUUUCUAAGGGUUCGGACCAGCUAAGACCCCUCCCUUUAAGUCCAGCCCGGGGAAGGGGAGGCGGAGAGAGCCUUGCGGAAGCAGUGCCACAGGAAAACCCCGUGUCCCCUGCCCAGCUGGCAGGAGUGGCCCUGGCGGCGCGCGCCCAGCCGCUCCCAGGUACAAAAACACACCCGAGGCGCUUGCUGUUGUACCAUUUAUCUAUCAGUCACUAAUGAAUAUUAUUCUCCCAUAACUAUGUAUAAGCUAUGUAUAUGAAUUACUAUGGAUAUUCUGUAUACUGGAGCUGCACUCGUGCACAAGACAUGGAACAAAUCCAGUAGUUUCCAAAGUCCAAAUCUAAUUAGGAAAUACUACAGAAUCAACUCUGGACUCAGCAUCUCCUUCCUCCUGUCUACAUGGUCACAUACUGGUUUUCGAGGUUCCAUCUUUGCUAAUGAAGAAGGUUGCUUUGGAAAUACAGAACAAGAGUAGGAGACGUACCUCAGAGGUGGAGCACUUGCUUGUUAUAUGCAAGGUCUCCACUUUGAUCCCUGAUGGUGGAAAAUAAAAUAAAGUGCAAAGAAAAAAUGAACAAGUCCAACUAACUUAAAAAUCACAAAGGAUGGGGCUGGAGAGAUGGCUCAGUGGUUAAGAGCACUGGCUGUUCUUCCAGAGGUCCUCAGUUAAAGUCUUAGCAUUCACAUGACAGCUCACAAUUGUCUGUGACUGUAUCUAGUAGGACCAAAUGCCCUCUUCUGAUGUGCAUACAUGCCAACAGAAUACCCACAUACAUAAAAUACAUGCAUGAAUAAAUCUUUUUUAAAAACAUUUUUAAAAGGAAAAAUCACAAAGGAGCCAGGUGUGGUAACACAUACCUUUAGUCCUAGCACUCAGGAGACAGAAAGCUAGGGGGUCCCUGAGUUUGAGACCAGUCUGGUCUACAGAGCAAGUUUCAGAAAAGCCUGGUCUAUAGAACAAGUUGAGGGACAGCCAGGGCUACACAGAAAAUCGCUAUCUUUACAAACAAACAAGAAAGAACCACAAAGGAGGGCAUAGCAGCACAGACCUUUAAUCCCAGCACUUGGGAGGUAGAGGCAGGACAAACUCUGUGAGUUCUUGGCCAGCCUGGUCUACAUAGUGAGUUUCAGGCAAGCCAGAGCUACAUAUACCCAGUUUAAAAAAACAAAACAAAACAAAACAAAACGACAACAACAAACUCCCAAAGGCAGAGCUAUUGAGAGGGCUCAGUGGGUAAAGGCACUUGUCGUCUGGCCUUAUAUCCUAAGUUUGACCCCCUGGAAUCCAGUUAGUGCAUGGAGCAAGCAGACUCCCACACGUUCUCUGACCUCCACACACGCACAGUGGCGCUUGGUAUCAGACAUUAGGUAAAUAUAAUAAAACUUUUACAGCAGUUCUCUGGAACCAACUCCCUAAAAUUGUCUGACUUCCACAUGAGUGCCACAGAGUGUGUACAUACAUCAUACUUACGUAUACAUAUAAUAAAAAUUUUUUUAAUCAUAAAGGACUGCUAGACACGGUGGCAAACAUCCCAGUGUUUGAGAGGGUAAGGCAAGAGACUUUCUGUGAACUUCUGCCAGCCUGGGCUACAUGGUAAUCUCCUGUCUCAAAAACCUGAAACAAAUAGGCUACAAAGUAUGGCUAUGAAGUCCAUGAGUACCCCACACGUGUGGACAGCCCUGUGAUCUGGGACCCUUUCCGCAUAUCAUUCAGAAAUCAAGUGAUUUUUUUUUUUUAUAGACGAGGACCCUGGGAUUCAGAGAGGCUGUAUUGAGUAGUGGCCAAGUAGUAAUUCAAGUACUUUUUAAAACAAAUGCAUUUAUUUAUUUAUUUAUUUAUUUAAUCUAUCGAUCUAUUUACUUAGACAGGACUUACUAUGUGGCCCCGUUUGGUUUAGAAUGUGCAGAAAUCUACCUGCUUCUGCCUCCUGGUGCUGGGGUUAAAGGUGUUUGCCAUUCCUGGCUUUAGUCAUAGUUUAUGAUAAUUUGCUUUUGCUUUUUUUUUUUUUUUUGGUUUUUCAAGACAGGGUUUCUCUGUGUAGCCCUGGCUGUCCUGGAACUCACUCUGUAGACCAGGCUGGCCUCGAACUCAGAAAUCCGUCUACCUCUGCCUCCCGAGUGCUGGGCUUGAAGGCUUAGCCACCACUGCUCCCCACUCCCCAAGCAUGUAACAGGGGCCCAUGUAGCUCAGACUGGCCUUAAACUUGAUAUGUAGCUCAGGAUGACCUUCAAUCCCUCAUUCUCUCGUCACCUCUCACAAGCUGGAAACCUAGGCAUGCACCACCAUGUCUGAUUUAUGUUGUGCCAUCAGUCUACCAGCUAAGCUCAGCCUUAGUCCCUAGAAAUACAACUCUGUUAUAAUUUGAAUUCUGAGCUACUGUCUUAUACAGUACAACAAGAAAAGAAGCGAAAGCCUAAGGAAGAAUUUUCCAAGGUCGUGAAGUGAGUCAUGGUGGAACGUCAAACACUGUAUGUCCUAGUUCAAGACACCGGCACCAAGAUGAGAAGAUUUGACAACAUUCUGUCAUGAAAAAUAAAUGUUGGCAGGAUCUGGGAUUGAUGAGGCAAGGCUCCAGGCACGUCUGUGAAGGGUUCUGGUGACUCUGUUAGCCUCUGGGCAUACCCGUGGGAGGCUAUUGUGAUUAGGCUAAUUGAGGUGGGAAGACCUGCCCACAAUGGUUGGUAUCAUUCCCUAGGCUGUGAGCUGUGCCAUAAUAGGCAUUGCUUUCUGCUUCCUGACUGUGGACACGGUGUGACCAGCCACCUCAAGCUCCUACCUUCCUUCCUACCUUGCCAUAAUGGACUUGCCCUUGAACUGUAAACCAAAAAUAAAUGUUUUCUUCCUUAAA
This 3189-nucleotide long non-coding RNA is filed under the name Mus musculus (house mouse). RNAcentral's name for it is "predicted gene 13524, transcript variant 2 (Gm13524)". The record is from RNAcentral. Lineage: Eukaryota; Metazoa; Chordata; Mammalia; Rodentia; Muridae.